UACGUAGGCAGCAAGCGUUGUUCGGAUUUACUGGGCGUAAAGGGUGCGUAGGCGGCUUUUUAAGUUUGGUGUGAAAUCUCCCGGCUCAACUGGGAGGGUGCGCCGAAUACUGAGAAGCUAGAGUGUGGGAGAGGAAAGUGGAAUUCCUGGUGUAGCGGUGAAAUGCGUAGAUAUCAGGAGGAACACCGGUGGUGUAAACGGCUUUCUGGACCAUAACUGACGCUGAGGCACGAAAGCGUGGGUAGCAAACAGG
This 253-nucleotide ribosomal RNA is filed under the name uncultured bacterium. RNAcentral describes it as "partial 16S ribosomal RNA". It matches the Rfam family "Bacterial small subunit ribosomal RNA", at positions 524 to 776 of the family's 1533-position model. The record is from RNAcentral.